CCUUUGUUGUUAAAACUACCUUGUUGCUUUGGCGGGACCGCUCGGUCUCGAGCCGCUGGGGAUUCGUCCCAGGCGAGCGCCCGCCAGAGUUAAACCAAACUCUUGUUAUUAAACCGGUCGUCUGAGUUAAAAUUUUGAAUAAAUCAAAACUUUCAACAACGGAUCUCUUGGUUCUCGCAUCGAUGAAGAACGCAGCGAAAUGCGAUAAGUAAUGUGAAUUGCAGAAUUCAGUGAAUCAUCGAAUCUUUGAACGCACAUUGCGCCCCUUGGUAUUCCGAGGGGCAUGCCUGUUCGAGCGUCAUUACACCACUCAAGCUAUGCUUGGUAUUGGGUGCCGUCCUUAGUUGGGCGCGCCUUAAAGACCUCGGCGAGGCCACUCCGGCUUUAGGCGUAGUAGAAUUUAUUCGAACGUCUGUCAAAGGAGAGGAACUCUGCCGAUUGAAACCUUUUACGGCGAGUGAAGCGGCAACAGCUCAAAUUUGAAAGCUAGCCUUCGGGUUCGCAUUGUAAUUUGUAGAGGAUGCUUUGGGUAAAACGCCAGUCUAAGUUCCUUGGAACAGGACGUCAUAGAGGGUGAGAAUCCCGUAUGUGACUGGAAAUGUUAACCUAUGUAAAGCUCCUUCGACGAGUCGAGUUGUUUGGGAAUGCAGCUCUAAAUGGGAGGUAAAUUUCUUCUAAAGCUAAAUAUUGGCGAGAGACCGAUAGCGCACAAGUAGAGUGAUCGAAAGAUGAAAAGCACUUUGGAAAGAGAGUUAAAAAGCACGUGAAAUUGUUGAAAGGGAAGCGCUUGCAAUCAGACUUGUUUAAACUGUUCGGCCGGUCUUCUGACCGGUUUACUCAGUUUGGACAGGCCAGCAUCAGUUUCGGCGGCCGGAUAAAGGCUCUGGGAAUGUGGCCUCCACUUCGGUGGAGGUGUUAUAGCCCAGUGUGUAAUACGGCCAGCCGGGACUGAGGUCCGCGCUUCGGCUAGGAUGCUGGCGUAAUGGUUGUAAGCGACCCGUCUUGAAACACGGACCAAGGAGUCUAACAUCUAUGCGAGUGUUCGGGUGUCAAACCCCUGCGCGUAAUGAAAGUGAACGGAGGUGGGAACCGCAAGGUGCACCAUCGACCGAUCCUGAUGUCUUCGGAUGGAUUUGAGUAAGAGCAUA
RNAcentral lists this small RNA (1148 nucleotides) under Aureobasidium sp. 15 MU-2012. RNAcentral's name for it is "eukaryotic LSU rRNA". The stretch from base 380 to 1148 matches the Rfam family "Eukaryotic large subunit ribosomal RNA", at positions 1 to 804 of the family's 3401-position model. The record is from RNAcentral. Lineage: Eukaryota; Fungi; Ascomycota; Dothideomycetes; Dothideales; Saccotheciaceae.